CCAGCUACAGAGGCAAUCGAAGAUUCCAACACCAGGUACUGUUCAAACGCUUCCUUAGACAAAGGUAGAUGAAACAGGUCGUGCAAAUGUGAACUUUCCUUGGCCUUACCAACUGUGAUAUUUGGAUUUUUUUUGCAAAAGAAUAGAGUUCUGGGAAAGCAAGCUUCGGGACUUGAUCAUUCCAAAGAUCAGCCCAGAUAAAACAUGUGCCACCAUCUUGCACUGAGGCAGCAGCCAACCCUUUAAAGGGGUCCAAAAGCUUUACAACAUCUCGCCAAUAGAAGAAUCCUUUCUUUACCUGACCCGACAAUUUUUCAUUGGAGUAAUGGUUCUCCCAAAUUAACUUUACCCAUGGGAUGUCCCGCCGAUUGAAGAAUUUAUCCAAAUUUUUAAGCAACAAGGCCUCAUUCUGAGUUUUCAGAUUUAAAACUCCAAGGUCUCCUUCAGAUUUGGGUUUAAUCACGAGGGACCAGGCUUUUGGAGGUUUUCUAGCAUUAAGAUCACCC
This 506-nucleotide long non-coding RNA is filed under the name Setaria viridis. Its description in RNAcentral is "long non-coding RNA (SVIR_LNC004219)". Lineage: Eukaryota; Viridiplantae; Streptophyta; Magnoliopsida; Poales; Poaceae. The record is from RNAcentral.